This 98-nucleotide non-coding RNA is filed under the name Ligilactobacillus ceti. Its description in RNAcentral is "Lactobacillus ceti Guanine sequence". It matches the Rfam family "Purine riboswitch aptamer". Rfam says of the family: Riboswitches are metabolite binding domains within certain messenger RNAs that serve as precision sensors for their corresponding targets. Allosteric rearrangement of mRNA structure is mediated by ligand binding, and this results in modulation of gene expression. RNAcentral also lists the same sequence under 1 other name. The record is from RNAcentral. Lineage: Bacteria; Bacillati; Bacillota; Bacilli; Lactobacillales; Lactobacillaceae.
UAUUACAACCAAAGAAAAACUUAUAUAAUGCUUUGAUAUGGAAAGCUGUUUCUACCUAAGACCGAGAAUCUUGGACUAUAAGUAAAAUUAGAAAACCG